RNAcentral lists this long non-coding RNA (797 nucleotides) under Monodelphis domestica (gray short-tailed opossum). Its description in RNAcentral is "lncRNA (ENSMODG00000041455.1)". The record is from RNAcentral. Lineage: Eukaryota; Metazoa; Chordata; Mammalia; Didelphimorphia; Didelphidae.
UGAGUUCAAAUUCAGCCUGAGACACUUAUUAGCUCUGUGACUCUAGACAAGUCACUUAUCCCUGUCUGCCUCAGUUCCUCAUCUGCCAAAUGAGUUGGAGAAAGAAAUAACAAAUCAGUUCAGUAACUUUGUCAAGAAAAGCCCAAAGAAUAGGACACAACUGAACAACAACAAUAAAGAGUAUAAUAAGUACUGCAUAGAGAAGGCAGACAGAUCAGGCAUCACAGGAGAGGGUACUGGGAAAAACUGGAGCAACAAAAAGGCACUGGACAUUCAAGCUUAGAAAAUAAUAUUAAGAAGAGAAAAGCAUGGUGAUGUAGAAAGAACAUCAGCUUACUAAUCAUAAAACACUGGUUAAAAUCAUAAUCAACAAACUGUUUUCCUUCAUCCAAACCCUGGUUUCUUUCUCUCUAAAAUAAGAGUGACUCUAAGGUUCCUCCUAACUACAUAGUCCAGAAUCUGAUGCUUAUAUGGAAAGAGCAGAAAUGAGAAGUUUAUGUCACACUUUACAAAGGGCCAGGAAUUUCUACAACCAAAGGGAAAAAAGGGGCUGAAGCACCUAUUCCAGGGAUUAGCAACAAGACCUCACUUGCAAAAUGGAAAUAAUAAUAGCACCUGCUUCAUAGGAUCAAAUGAGGUGACAUGAGUUAAACACUUUACAUAAUGCUAGAGAUUAUUAUGUACAAGAGAAAAAAUAUGAAGUGAGUUCUACUACUAUGGUACCUUUUGCAUGUUUAUUAAACUUUUCUGGGUCUCAGUUCUCCUCUCUGUAAAAAUGAAAGGUUCCUUGAACCCCU